This 479-nucleotide ribosomal RNA is filed under the name uncultured bacterium. Its description in RNAcentral is "bacterial SSU rRNA". It matches the Rfam family "Bacterial small subunit ribosomal RNA", at positions 28 to 507 of the family's 1533-position model. The record is from RNAcentral.
GACGAACGCUGGCGGCGUGCCUAACACAUGCAAGUCGAGCGGGGCGACCGGAGGCGGUAGAGAUACCGAGGAAGGGCGCCUAGCGGCGAACGGGUGAGUAACGCGUGGGCAAUCUGCCCCCGGGAGCGGGAUAACAGACCGAAAGGCCUGCUAAUACCGCAUGAAGCCGUCAUAUCACAUGGUAAGACGGUAAAAGGGGAAACCCGCCUGGGGAGGAGCCCGCGUCCCAUUAGCUAGUUGGUGGUGUAACGGACCACCAAGGCGAUGAUGGGUAGCCGGCCUGAGAGGGUGAACGGCCACAUUGGGACUGAGACACGGCCCAGACUCCUACGGGGGGCAGCAGUGAGGGAUUUUCGGCAAUGGGCGAAAGCCUGACCGAGCGACGCCGCGUGAGCGAAGAAGGCCUUCGGGUCGUAAAGCUCUGUCUAGGGGGAAGAGAAAGGACGGUACCUCUGGAGGAAGCCACGGCUAACUACGUG